Long non-coding RNA from Betta splendens (Siamese fighting fish), 4514 nucleotides. RefSeq lists it as uncharacterized. The record is from RefSeq and is a predicted model, not a curated record. NCBI's taxonomy places the organism in Eukaryota, Metazoa, Chordata, Actinopteri, Anabantiformes, Osphronemidae. The transcript is spliced from 3 exons.
GUGGGGAAACGAGAGAGAGAGAGAGAGAGAGAGAGAGAGGGGAGGGGAGGGGAGGAGGGGGAGGGGGGCGACAGAGAUUACAUCAUAACUAGCCUCAUCAUCAGCCAAUUAAUAGACCGGCAUCGUUACUAACAGCUCGUUUACCACCAAGCAGGACGCAAACAGCCGCACCUGCAGGCGCUGACGAUCCAAUUCGUGAUAAGUUUGUUCCAUAUAUACUGUACCUGAUGGCGCUGAGGGCAAAUAUAAAGCUGCUCUGUGACGCUACUGCACAAAAUCAGCCACAAUGACAUUAAGGGUUUUAUUAACGCGAUGGAAUGAUUUUCCUUCCAACGUCCAGGCCGAUUCCUGAAGUCACCUCUCACUGGACGGGAAACAUAAAGCAAAGGUCAUAUCUUCCUGUAAGCGUUUUACAUUUCAUGGAGAUUUUCUGUAUUUGUUGUUUCUCACACCAUGAGUCUACAUUUACCAAAUGUAGUGACGAAAGGGUGGCGUGAGAGUGAAGCACGUGCAACAUUAAACUAACUAACCUGUGAUUCAGGUUCAACAGUGAUGAAUAAAGCUAAUUAUUAUUAACUGUACUAAUUGAAACAAUCCCAUAAAAUCUGGGCAGAAUAGGCAGCAAAGCUCUAAGAUGAGUUACGGUUCUGUGCUUCACUGCUUUCAAUAAAAAAAUUCAACUGUUCUAUAACAUCAGACCAAACCUGACUCAUCCGGCCAACAUCAACCCAGAAAGUUAGUGGAACAGGAUCCAAAGUUCAGUUUGUCCUAGUCAGCUGCUUUUCUGAAUAAUCCUGACUUUGUCUGACUCCUACGUGGCGACUGAUCACGUCCGUGCCUUCAUUACGUUAAGAUAAAUGAAGCAGAUGAACCAUGAGUUGAUACUGUAGCAGAUCAAUGACAUCAAUCGCUAAAAAAUAUUAACAAAACCCAAGUGUUCCCAAGGAAAAAAGCCACUACAGUAAUAGGAAGUGGACGUACGUCUGCCAGCAAAGAUGCAUCACUGCUCUUUACUGAUGAUCUUUAAUACUCACAUUCAGCCAAAUGCCAAAAAAAUGACUGGACGCUGCUUCAAAGUGCUGAUGGACAACAGCCCUAAACAAACUGCGGAAGCAAUUCAAUUCUGUUUGAAGGCAAAGAAGUGAAACCCAUUAGUCAGUUGUUUGGUUCUGAGCCAAGGGAGCAGCUUUUUCCUUAAUGAAGACAAGACUGACGACAGGAAGACCAACAAACCGCUGACUGGACGAUGGGGUCGGUCUUAUUCUGAAGGGUUUACUUCCUGUUUCUCCAUCCCUCACUCGACCAUAGUGACUUGAAUGCCAAUUGUUUUUUUCUGUUCUUUCUAAGGUUUGGGGGAAAUGGGCAGUGAGAGAGGUAGUUAUAGGAUGCAGGAUAGUAAUUUCAGUGCCAUAGGAUGAUUAAUUAUGAUUUCUAUUAACAAACUGAAUAACCUCUAGAGAUGUCAGACGUAAAGGUUCAGACACGACAGGAGUCCUUCAUGAUCAGUCAGUCAGUGUGAAACGUGGCUAAUCGAUGCAUUGUUUCAUCUGAGUUUUUCUAUUGCCUUUGUCAUAUUACAGUACACGCCGACUACAGGUCUCCAGUUUCACAGCCAGACUCCCUGUGUCUGAGAUCUCAGGUUCUAAUAAAACGUUGACCAUUAAUUACAGUGGCCCGGUCGGGUCUGCAGCAGCCAAAGCGCCACCCUGGGAGCCGUGGUUCUCUUCCUUUGUGUUCUCUCUCUGCCAGCAGUUGAGUUUGUGUUGAGAUAAGACGAGUGAAGAGCCUGAAGCUUCACUGUCAACAUCAGUCAGAGGAUUAAGAGCAAAGACAAAUUCCCCCGAGUCAUUAAUGGAGAGGCGACAAGGAGGAUGCUGUGACCUGACCUCCCCUACAUCAUUACCCACAGUCCUGGAGUCACGUCUCCUUUACAUCCUGAGCGACAGGCUGGAAUCAGGUGCUUCUGUCAAAGGAUUUGAAUUCUUUUGCUAUUAGGACAAUGCCAGUCACCACUGUUACCUAAUUUAAUCACUUUUGUCAAUAUGACUGAUUUGUAAUGAGGGUUUAAUAAUGCUGAGUGGAGCUAAAAAAACAGAUUGCUCCAUUAGUCCAUUGUGUUAUUUACUGACAACUUCAAACCUAUAAGUUACACGGUUACAUUUGGAGACUGUUUGAAAGAAACCAUCCAUUAACUCUGCUUCACCCCAUAAAUCCCUGCAGAUGUUUCUGCCUCCUCAUCAGGUGACAUCAGUUCUGGUCAGAACGCAGGUCGGGCCGACUGCUCUUCUCAGACACUUUUUGCUUUUGCACAAUGACAGCAGUUGUAACAUGACUGAAUGAGUCAGAGUCUGAAUUUAUUUACAGUAACAGCCUGAACCCAGAACCAGCGUGGUUGUGUCACGUUUGGCAGCAGUAGCAAGGCGAGGACCCAAACGCACAGCACACACAGGCUCAGGUUUGUGGAGAUUUAAUGAAACUCGUUGGUCUGACAGGCUCAGGUCGGUACACAGGUUUAGCAUGAAAGACAGCAGCAGUACAAAACAGGGAUCAGGCAAAGGCAGUCAGUGUCCACACGUGGUUCAAGUCAAGGUGAAAACGAGACCCGGGACUGGACUUACUAGAACGUGGACGCUGGAGCAUUGAUACAGGUAAUGUGAUCGAAGAAUCUGGCAAAUGCUAGCGGUGAGACAUGGUUCGUAAGUACACAUACAGAUUACAAAGUGGGUGCAGCUAAUAAGACAGGUAACAGCAGAUAAAGCUAGACAGAAUACCAGGAACUAAACAGGAAACAGUCAAAAUAAAACAGGAAACAAUACAGAAACAAGGCAGCGAUGCCGGAGGUGUGACAGGUUGGUUGGCUCUGCACCACGUCAGACUCCAGCUCCCUCAGCACAUGCACUGAUGGGACGAGUGAAGCAGAACAAGGAAGAACUACAUGCUAUCACAGUAGACAGAAAUUGUGACUCGUUCUCAUCUUUGUACAAAGCUCAUCUGCUGCAACUGCUUGCCACAAUUCUUCGAAGCAGCUGAAGGGAAAAUACGCCAUGUUGUUCUUCUCUAUUUGUUGUCCCAGCAUUCAAUAAAGCAGCUUGUCUUGUCCAUCUAAACAGGCUGAAUCCAUCACUCACUGUCUGACGGAUGAUUGAUGUUUCCAUCAGGGAGGCUGUGAUUGAGAGCCACCGCUGGCCAGCAGCAUCCAUCCCAUAAUACUCUCUGCUCUAUAAAUAAUGUUUAUCAACAGCAUUUCAUGUACUGAAGUAAAAAAAGGAUCAGACAGCAGGAAUAAGGCCCAGGCAUCUGUCCAGCCGUCAUUAGGACAGACCAAAGGUGGUCGGUUUCAGGGUAAAUGUCCAGCAGACGAUUCAGCUGGACACUGACUGAAGACCAACAAGAUGAAAAACCGUUUUCAUCACAGCUGCUUCUUCUCCAGUGAAUCUCCAGGAAAAUGCUUUCUACAGCAUUACUGGGGAACAGGACAAACUACACACAACUGGUCCAAGGCUAAACCUAAGACGAGUCGUGAACCUCUGAUGCUCGAAGAUCAGCCUCAAACUUCUUCAAUAAUUUAGCUUCAUUAAUGAAGAAGAAUUACUUUCACAAUCUCAGUCUCUGAAAAACACCAGAAGCCUCAUUAGGAUUUUAAUAGAUUCUGUAGAAGGAGGAAGAGGGAGAAAAACGCAUGAUGGACGACUGAAGACUCUCAAGACCAAGAUCAUGUACAGUACUUUCCUAUUCUGCUUCAAUGCACAUUUAUCUUUGCAGUUUUAUUUGACCCACAGAUGAAGGAGUCGAAUCACAAAAUGUUACAGCAUUUAUUGUUUCUACGUUUAGUUGGUAAACAACAAACACUUCCACCCUUGCUGUGGGCUCUCACUCCAACAGACAGUGGUAUUGGUGUGGUAUCGAGAUCUACUGCUGAUCCACAUUCAUGACUAUAGUCCAUGUUUACAAAGUAUAUUAGAAAUGCAUUUAGAUCCGGGGUCAAACUGAUGCCGUCGAGGGCCGCUGCCCUGCUGCUUUUCCAACCCUUCCUGCCUCAGCUAACACUGAUCACCAUGACCGGUGUGUUCAGUCAAUGACAAGCUGGAAAAGCCGACUGACCACCUGAUCAAGGUAAUCAGAGAUUCAUGUUUGUAUUGGAUUGUUUUGUGUAAUUUUUGCAGGUGAAAAACCUGUAAAACAUGGUAAAUAUGCUUAUUUAAUCCAUAAACAGUGUGUUUAGCUCACAGGUUUCCAGUUGACAACACACAUUUUCUAACUCAGAUGAUUGGAGUGAGGCCUGAAGUUCAUUUUAAAAAGGCCUGACAGCGUGCUUCCGCUGCCAACACUCCUGAUACCUUCAUUUCACUUACUCUACAGUUGUUUAUGAGCCACAUACCCAUCUGUGUUUUUAGCUUAAUUACUUCAGGGUUGUGUGUAGUCACUGAUGAGUUGUUGAAGAUGGGAAAAGAAGCGAGACGUGGAAAAAUGGGAGCGUAAGAAACAAAUGAUGUGAUGAGUCUCUAACUGGCAGA